RNAcentral lists this ribosomal RNA (600 nucleotides) under uncultured Alphaproteobacteria bacterium. RNAcentral describes it as "bacterial SSU rRNA". It matches the Rfam family "Bacterial small subunit ribosomal RNA", at positions 54 to 699 of the family's 1533-position model. The record is from RNAcentral. Lineage: Bacteria; Pseudomonadati; Pseudomonadota; Alphaproteobacteria.
CAUGCAAGUCGAACGAAGUAGCAAUACUUAGUGGCAGACGGGUGAGUAACAUGUAGGUAUCUACCCUUUGGCCUGGAAUAACACGGGGAAACUUGUGCUAAUACCGGAUAAGUCUUUACGGAGAAAGCUUUAUGCACCAUUGGAUGAGCCUGCACUUGAUUAGUUUGUUGGUGGGGUAAUGGCCUACCAAGACUGUGAUCAAUAGCUGAUUUGAGAGGAUGAUCAGCCACAUUGGGACUGAGACACGGCCCAAACUCCUACGGGAGGCAGCAGUGGGGAAUCUUGCACAAUGGAGGAAACUCUGAUGCAGCGAUGCCGCGUGAGUGAAGAAGGCCUUUGGGUUGUAAAGCUCUUUCGUCGGGGAAGAAAAUGACUGUACCCGAAUAAGAAGGUCCGGCUAACUUCGUGCCAGCAGCCGCGGUAAUACGAAGGGACCUAGCGUAGUUCGGAAUUACUGGGCUUAAAGAGUUCGUAGGUGGUUGAAAAAGUUAGUGGUGAAAUCCCAGAGCUUAACUCUGGAACUGCCAUUAAAACUUUUCAGCUAGAGUAUGAUAGAGGAAAGCAGAAUUUCUAGUGUAGAGGCGAAAUUCGUAGAUAUUA